RNAcentral lists this ribosomal RNA (196 nucleotides) under uncultured bacterium. RNAcentral's name for it is "partial 16S ribosomal RNA". It matches the Rfam family "Bacterial small subunit ribosomal RNA", at positions 328 to 539 of the family's 1533-position model. The record is from RNAcentral.
ACGCUCGACACCUACGAGAGGCAGCAGUGGGGAAUAUUGCACAAUGGGGGAAACCCUGAUGCAGCGACGCCGCGUGAGUGAAGAAGUAAUUCGUUAUGUAAAGCUCUAUCAGCAGGGAAGAAAGUGACGGUACCUGAGUAAGAAGCCCCGGCUAACUACGUGCAGCAGCGCGGUAAUCUGAGCGGGCUGGCAAGGC